This is a long non-coding RNA of Dicentrarchus labrax (European seabass), 4603 nucleotides long. Lineage: Eukaryota; Metazoa; Chordata; Actinopteri; Moronidae. The record is from Ensembl.
AUGGCUGACUCCAGCAGCAGGAUGAUGACGUCUUCUGAACACCUGGCGGUCGGGCCUGCAGGGAAAGCGUCGUCGUCCUCGGUCGCGUCAGGAAAUGGAAACUGGGACGGUGCAGGUGGGAUGGACCAGAUAACUGUGGUGAGAAUAGAUGACACACACAUUGCCGAGGAGCAGGUGAAAGACGACGCCGCGGAGUACUACGAGGAGGAGUACUCGAUUCCUGAGGAGGACGAGGAGGAGGAGGAGGUUGCGGCAGAGGAAGAGGAAGACGGUGUUUUUGUCAUUGAGUAUUCAAACCCUGAAGAGGAGGGAGAGAGCUACCAGUUCACGAUGUCUGUGGACAGAUCGCUCCCGGCCAAAAAGCCAGAACCGACACCUCCUGUGGUCGGAGUGAACGCCAGAGCUCCCCUACCUGCGAUGUCCAAACCGUCCAGGCCGCAGAGGCCGAGGCACGAGGUGAGGCACGAGGUGAGGCAGAAGAGGAAGCUGAUAACGGAAGAGGAGGUGAAGAAGGAGGAAGUUGUGAGCAAUAAAUCCGUGUUGGAGCUCGGGGAGAACUACAGCGACGUGAUGGAAGUGAAUUCAGGCUCAGGUAAUAGACUGGUGUGCUCGCUGUGCCCGCCGCCCGGCAGGCUCUUCAAGAGAGGCUCAGGUUUGGCGGUGCACCUCAAACAGAUGCACCACAUGGUGGGGAAGAAGACGUUCUUCUGCACGACGUGCCAGCAGUCGGUUCGCACUCAGAUCGAACUGGACUCGCACACGCGACGCCACGCCAACCAGGACGCCGUGUUCACCUGCUACCUCUGCUCGGCCGAGGGAGAAAACAAAACGGAGGCGGAGAAGACGGGGUUCAGCGGGCCGAGGUGGGGUCUGAAGAGACACCUGGAGAAGGAGCAUCCGGGCGUCAUCCCUCGCUGCGACGUCUGCAACAAAGGCUUCAAAUCGCUGGCGUCGUACCUGGCCGAUCAGUUCAGGCACGUCGGCGUGUCGCCCUACUACUGCGCCAGGUGUCAGAUCUACGAGAUGACCGAGAGGGGUCUGAGCAUUCACAUCAAAAACCACGACAAGAAGAAGAAGAAGAAGCAGGAGUCUGGUGAAAACCUCCAGCAGACGUCGGGAGUCUCCGCCGUCGCUGAUAACUCCGCCACAGACGACUCCGACUUCUGACACGUCUCUGAGUGUUUGGAGUUAAAGCGGCUGCGGCUCAGUGACCUCUCUGUCCCACGCUUAUGCAUCUACGACUGAACUGAACUUUAGACACAGUUGUUUGGGUUUUUAUUGACAGGUAUCACAUUAAGGAAACCUUUCUUGUGGUCGACCCACUCAAGCUGUUCGUACGAUGUGGUCGAGUCUUCAGCCUCCAUCAGUGUCGCGUGUAGAGUAAAUCCAGUUGUGGCCUCAGUUGGGAAUUAAAGGAAAAUGACAUUUUUUCACAACCUGGGUCUUGUUUUUGUACGUUUGGCCAUCGUUGGAUGUGUUAAUUUAUUUUCACCAGCUUCAUUUAAAGGAUUCAUUUGACAUUUUUUUAAGGGAGUCUGGGGAAAUUGUGGCUCCUGGUUCUGUAGUAGUUCAGUACACUAGUGCUGAGGCUGGUUUUGGCAGGUUAAAGAGCGCAAACAUAUCAUCAGUUACAGUGAAGCAAAUGGAAAUCAGUGUGUUUCUUGUGUACUUACAGGACAUCAGUGGAGUAGACGGGCCUUCAGAGCGGCCCAGGACACAGAGUACCAUCUGACAGGCAGUUCUUUAGCAGUAUGCUGGAUUAAAGCUCACUAAUUGUCACAAUAUGUCUUGUUUGUUUAAUCCAUAUAAUAACUGUGUAAAAACAACUCAAAAUGUUGAGUUAUUCCUUUUAAGAGAUGUUGGACGCAGGGAGUUUGUGGUCGGUUUGACCAAAGAGCUUCAACAACUAGUCUGAAAAGUGAAGUUAAAGUAUCAAACAUGAAAUAUUACGGAGCACUGCUGUGAACAUUUAUCUUUAAUCUCUUCAGUAAAGUCUUAUAACUGAUAGAAAUAAUCUCAAAAACAAUGGUGCUGUUACUGACACUUAUUUUAUCUGGUUUAUUCAUCAUUGAAAUGUCAGAAAAUAGAGAGAAAUGCCUGUUAAAGUGUCCUGUGAUGUCUGAAAACCCAAAGAUAUUCAGUUUAUAAUGAGAUAAAACGAGCUGUAAUAGAAAUAAGACCCAGGUUGUGUAUCAGUCAACCCCUCAGCCCUCCACAGUGUUGAUGCUGUUUGUUCUUCAUUAGUGUCUGAGUCGGUGCAUGUGUGUGUACAUACUGUAUAUUCUGUAUUACUCAGCAGUUAUUCCAGUUACAGCAGAAGAAAGUGAAUCCGUUUUCAUCCUCAGAGUUCAAACCUGUCCACAGCUCUCCGAGUGGGAUCAGCCUCCAAAAGCAGGUUGUAACAAACAAACAAUAGACGCUAAAGUAACUCAUGUAAAGGAGCAACGCCAGUAUUAUUUCAUGUUUUACUUCAAAUCGUGUUCUUUGCUUUACAGCUGACAUCAAAGCAGGUUUCCAGGUUGAUAAAAAGGUGGGAAAUCAAUCACAGCGAAUUCUUGUUUAUCUCACUUUUUUGUCAAAGUGAAAUGAUAAGAUGAUUUUAUAUAUACACACAAUUCAUUUGGCAUUAAAUUACGCACUGGAUAUCUCAGACCAGAACUAUGGGCACUACUCUGACCUCUGUCAUUUUACACACUUAAAACUCACCAAAACCGUCUCUAUUAGUCUUUCCACUGAAUAAAUCCAACAGAUAAACAGUAUUUUCAGUGGCUCUCCUCAGCAGAUAGUUGUUUGCUGCUAUAUUAAUGUUUUAAAUCUCACAUAUAACCUUUUAACAGUAACGUAGCUGAAAGAGCUGCUGCUGUGGUGCAUUCAUGGUCCUGUGAGAAGCUCUGACAAAUGAGACCUCACAGUCAUCUGGAGUUGGUUUUUUUAAAGGAAAUGAAGCUUUUUAUCAGCAAUUUGUUCACUAAAAACCUGAAAGGAUUCUGAAUUAGUCUGCACACAACGACACCACUUUAAAUGUAAGAAUAAAAACAAUUAUUACCACUAACAAAAAACGUUUCUGGCAGCUGAUUUCAUAGAAAUGAACUGAAACACAUUUUUGCCUUGAAGGAAGUAAAAUAAUAUACAUGUGAUUGGUAGUGAAUGGAUAGAACGAGUAUUAACACAGUAUGAUCCAGGUUGCUGUUUCCCUCUGAAAUAAAGACUGCAUGCAUUUAAAUGUCCUAAUUACACAGGAAAAACAGGCUUUUUAACAGAAACUCUAAAGUACGUUCUUGAGAUUAAAAGUGUUGAAACUUCUGGAGUUUGUUUUUCUUCAGCAGCCGGAGUUUGUUCAGUCGUCCUGAGGAAGUCAAAGUGCACAGAGAAAUCUAAAGUUGACCUUCAAUGACAACUGGGUGAAAUCCAUCUACAGAUCGAAAGCUCCAGAACAGCUACUAAACAAAAUAAAAUGUGAUCCUGAUGUAGAAAAUGUACUCACACAAACAUUAAAUAAUCCUUAAUAAACUAAAUUAAACUACAUUAAAGAUAUUUUUAUAAUCUUUAAAGUCUUUUAUGACGUAACAGCACAAAAAGUUUGAAAAUAAAACUUUUUUCUUUGUUUUUUAACCAAAAAACUAACAGAUGAAUUCAUGAAAGUGAAAAUAAAUGUUCCAACAACCCAGUUUAUUUACAUUAUUUAUACAGUGUAUUAAUGUGGUUAUAAGCAGUGAAAUAAGUAUUCAGUGUUUCACAAGAAAAACACUAAAAUUACAUCAAAGUAGUUUUUUGUUUCUUCUUUUUUAUCCCUUAAAUCAAUCUUAUUUAAAUUUGGACCCCAUUAAUCGGGGCCCUUAACCUCAGAUUUAAAACCACUGAGGUAGCGCCUGUGGACUUCAGUCUCUCUCCCUCAUUGAUUAUGUUUAUCACUGAAAUUAGCAUCAUAAAUGAUAAUCAUGGAACCUGUUUUAGCCCAAAAUAUGGAUUAAAAAACCCACUGAUGAUCUGAAUACUGUAAAUUAUUUAUAUGUUAUUUUAUUAUAUUGAGCUGGUUUGUUUUGCAAUCAAGUUUUUUUUUUAAUUCAACAAUAAGAAUAAAACAUGAAUCAUAAAUAUUCUGCUUUUAGAGGAUGAAACGAGUAUUAAAGGGGCUGAAAUCGUUAAAAUAUCGACUGCGUUUUGGUGCACAAACACUGAGAUGAACUGCAACAGUCUGUUUGUAUUAAACAUUUUAAAGUGAAUAUAUGUUUUUUUAUUCUUUGCUGUAACAUUUGUUGGCAACAUCCUUGUGACUUCUUUAAUUUUCUGACAUUAAAGGGAAUCACCACUGAUUUUGUUUCUUGUACUUUUCUCACUGUGAAACCUGCAAGCAUACCACACUGUAAAAAUACUCUGUUACAAGUAUUAGUGCUGCACUGAAAAUGUUACUGAAUCUUCAUAUUUAAGGAAUAAGAAGCAGUUUCAGUCUUUCACAUAAACAUUUACUGUAUGAAGGUUAACAGAUGCAGAGUUUCUUGGGGUUUUUGUGCUUGCUGAUUGUCUUCAGGUGAGAGGAGGCACACACAGGUACAGGGAGUUAUUGAUGAGAUCCACUGCAGAAGGUAAAACCACUAAAGACCUG